ACAGAGGGUGCGAGCGUUGUUCGGAAUUACUGGGCGUAAAGGGCGCGUAGGCGGCAAAUCAAGUCAGCUGUGAAAUCUCCGAGCUUAACUCGGAACGGUCAGCUGAUACUGUUUUGCUAGAGUGCAGAAAGGGCAAUCGGAAUUCUUGGUGUAGCGGUGAAAUGCGUAGAUAUCAAGAGGAACACCUGAGGCGAAGGCGGGUUGCUAGGCUGACACUGACGCUGAGGUGCGAAAGCCAGGGGAGCAAACGGGA
Molecule: ribosomal RNA, 253 nt
Filed under: uncultured prokaryote
Description: partial 16S ribosomal RNA
Rfam family: Bacterial small subunit ribosomal RNA
Source: RNAcentral